This 97-nucleotide microRNA precursor is filed under the name Tupaia belangeri chinensis (Chinese tree shrew). RNAcentral's name for it is "Tupaia chinensis (Chinese tree shrew) mir-544 microRNA precursor family". It matches the Rfam family "mir-544 microRNA precursor family". Lineage: Eukaryota; Metazoa; Chordata; Mammalia; Scandentia; Tupaiidae. The record is from Rfam by way of RNAcentral.
AUCACCUGGGGACCUAGUUAAAAUGAAAAUUCUGAUUCAGUAGGUCUGUGGUGUGGCCAAUAAUUUGCAUUUCUAGCAAGCUCUCAAGUGAUGCCAA